This 484-nucleotide ribosomal RNA is filed under the name uncultured bacterium. RNAcentral's name for it is "partial 16S ribosomal RNA". It matches the Rfam family "Bacterial small subunit ribosomal RNA", at positions 30 to 507 of the family's 1533-position model. The record is from RNAcentral.
AUUGAACGCUGGCGGCAGGCCUAACACAUGCAAGUCGAGCGGCUGAAGGGAGCUUGCUCCUGGAUUCAGCGGCGGACGGGCGGGUAAUGCCUAGGUAUCUGCGUGUUAGCGGUGGCUAGCGUGCGGACACGGGGGCAAAUACCGCAAUAGUCCUGAGGGCCUACGUGGGGAAGCAUCGGAUCUUCGGACCUUACACGAGCCUAUGUCGGAUUAGCUAGUUGGUGGGGUAAAGGCCUACCAAGGCGACGAUCCGUAACUGGUCUGAGAGGAUGAUCAGUCACACUGGAACUGAGACACGGUCCAGACUCCUACGGGAGGCAGCAGUGGGGAAUAUUGGACAAUGGGCGAAAGCCUGAUCCAGCCAUGCCGCGUGGGUGAAGAAGGUCUUCGGAUUGUAAAGCACUUUAAGUGGGGAAGAAAAGCAGUAAGUUAAUACCUUGCUGUUUUGACGGUACCAACAGAAUAAGCACCGGCUAACUUCGUG